This 253-nucleotide ribosomal RNA is filed under the name uncultured bacterium. RNAcentral describes it as "partial 16S ribosomal RNA". It matches the Rfam family "Bacterial small subunit ribosomal RNA", at positions 524 to 776 of the family's 1533-position model. The record is from RNAcentral.
UACGGAGGGUGCAAGCGUUAUCCGGAUUCACUGGGCUUAAAGGGUGCGUAGGCGGCUAUAUAAGUCAGUGGUGAAAGCCCGCAGCUCAACUGCGGAAGUGCCAUUGAAACUGCAUAGCUUGAAUCUGGUUGAAGUGGGCGGAAUACAUCAUGUAGCGGUGAAAUGCUUAGAUAUGAUGUAGAACACCGAUUGCGAAGGCAGCUCACUAAGCCAACAUUGACGCUGAGGCACGAAAGCGUGGGUAGCGAACAGG